GCAUUUCAGGGAUUUUGUGUGCCCAGGCAGUGACUUCCCGACUUCUCCGGCGUAUCCCCGACGGGGCGCAGAACACCGCCCGUGGCGAAGUCGGGCCGGGGCAGUUUGGGAACCCGUCCCCGGGAGCUCAGCGGCCAGAGGAGGGCGCGGAAGUGUUUCCUGGGUGAGCGCGGCAGCGGGACCCGUUUCCGGAAGGCUGAUUGCAUCAGGUUGGAGUUGCUGUGGGUGAGCUGCUGUGGUCUGUAGCCAAGCAUGCUGUGGUCGGAUCUGCCCAGCCGUGGAACAGAAACAUUUGCUGGAUGGAAAAUCCAUAAAAGAAAGCUCCUGUGAAAAGCUGAGGCUGACAAUAAUUUAAGCAAAAUCAGAUCGAUCUCUUUGGGCUGCCUGACCUCCUUGGGUGCUUGCUAUUAAUUAACAGACUUUGUGGGGAAAAAAAGGAGCUUGCCUUCUGAGCUUUGUACCAAAGACCUGGGAAAACUAAC
Molecule: small RNA, 482 nt
Filed under: Pan troglodytes (chimpanzee)
Lineage: Eukaryota; Metazoa; Chordata; Mammalia; Primates; Hominidae
Description: processed transcript
Source: RNAcentral